Diceros bicornis minor is the source of this 1683-nucleotide long non-coding RNA. RefSeq lists it as uncharacterized. Lineage: Eukaryota; Metazoa; Chordata; Mammalia; Perissodactyla; Rhinocerotidae. The record is from RefSeq and is a predicted model, not a curated record. The transcript is spliced from 5 exons.
GCUGCAAUUCUGCCACAGGCCCUGAGGGUCACACCAGGACUGCGCUCCACCUUUCAGCCUGAAUCCACCCUCAGGGAUCUCUCCAGCUUCGAGAAUCGUCUCCUUCUAGUGUGUGACAAGAGAUUCUCACAUAUUGAGGCUCUAAAGAUGGACACCAGGAGCUGCUGUGGCCAUGUCUCUGUCAUGGACUAGGGGCCUCGAGAAACUCAAAGCUCCCGUGCUGAAGUUAACUGAGUCCACCUGUUCACCUGACUGUCCGCUCACUUCAUUGUAAGCUCCCAGACACAGAGCCCAUGCUUGAUUCAUCCUUGUGUCUUUGGCUCCUGGCACAAAGAAACUGAAUCUCAGAGAAUUUGUCCAAAGCCACACAGCUGAUAAGGAGCAGAAGAAGCAGAAUGUACAGAGUGGUUAUAUACCAUCUUGGAACAAGGAACAUACAUCAAAUAUGACAACAAUAUUCCUUUUACUAUAGUCACGAGAUGCUUUGCUAGCACAGCAGUUUACAGUGAAGUUCAGCUUCAAAUGAUGUGGCAGCAGAAGAGAAUUCCUUGAAUUAACUGAGGAAGACAGACCUCUACCAUUUCAGCGCUGAGGACAGGAGGUUGAUCAAGGGCUUCUGGCAUCCUGUAAAGGGAACAGCAUACCCCCUGAAGAAACCCCACAAGUGGCAGAAGCCAUCACAAAGCCCUGCACAGCCUCCAGUUCCACCUACACUGCUGGUACCAAAAUAGCUCACACGGCAUUCCUACCCCCUCCUUUUGAACUGUGUGGGAAGGAACACUGGUCACGAUUCUCUGUUUCAACCACCUCACACGCUAGGACAGCCUCGGAAACUGCAGUGGCAUCUUGGGAUCUGGAGAACAGCAUGUCACAGGUUACACAUCAUACGUAUUCUGCACCAAGUGCCGUGUUCCUCCAAAAUUAGAGGUUUUUAAACAGAUGCAAAGAAACUGAAAAUGAUUUUUAAGUUAAAAAGUAAAAUGGAAAUGAGUUAAGUGUAGCAGAGUGUGGGGGCCAGAUCAUAAAGGGUCUCAUAUGCCAGGCUUAAAAAGUGUGAACUUUAUUGUGUCAGCGGGGAGGUGUAGAAGCAUUUUAAACAGGAAAGUAACACGAUCCGUUUAUUAUUUUGCUUGUUAGAGACUAUAUGACUAGUUACAAUCUGGCAGAUAGAGUAUACUAAAGUAUGAUUGUGCCAGGCUCUGCUGGUGGUGCCCUCCCACCCCAUCCUGGUUCUUCCUUGCCAGCAGAUGUCACCUCCCACUCUGAAGGCUGGAAAUGCCCAAGAAUCACUUUCCCAGCCUCCUUUGCAGGUAGAACCUGGGCAUGUGACCCAGUCCUGGCUAAUGGGACCUGAGAAGCAAGGCCACUGGGAGGAUUCUGGAAAAGGUUUUCCUCUCUAAUAAAAAGAUGCAUAAGAGGAAAUGCCCCACCUCUUUUCUAAAUGUGAUCAUGUUUGCAUGUAAUGCCUGGAGCUACCACCAUGAAAAGCGACAAGGCCAAUACCUUAGGGAUGGCAGAGCAGUAAGUUGGAAGUGACGACAUCAUAGAACCACACAGAGCCACAUUUUCUCUGGAGACAACAGACACUUAUUGGUUAAGCAUUUUUAUUUGGAUAUUCUGUUACUUGUACCCUAAAGCAUCUCAACUGAAAGAGGCAUUAAUAAAGUCACCAGCAAAAAUUAA